This is a long non-coding RNA of Drosophila yakuba, 806 nucleotides long. RefSeq lists it as uncharacterized. NCBI's taxonomy places the organism in Eukaryota, Metazoa, Arthropoda, Insecta, Diptera, Drosophilidae. The record is from RefSeq and is a predicted model, not a curated record. The transcript has 2 exons.
GUUACGUUACGUUACGUUUGACCAAGUAGUAGUAGUUAGCUAUGAGAAUUUUGUCGUGGUAAGCCUGUUGACAGUUGCUAAUCGAAUUCGUAAUACCGAAUUCUUGGGGGUGAAAUGGGUAGUUGUCUAUUGAUAAAUGGAGUAGUACUACAUGGAGCAGGUAAAGGCUUUCCAGUUACUAAAUUGUCUUAUCAGUCCUAUGUUUGUGCGUGCUUUGCUCCGAAAUUCUGGGUUUUUAGUUUGACGCAAACUAGUACUGAGGCCGGUCUCGUCAACAAUUAGGCACAGUUUGUGUAACGAACCGCUACACUGAUAAAAAAUACAACAGGCCAGAUGUUAACUCGAGAUCUAAGCGCAACCAAGAUAAUUGUCCGGCUUGGCUCGUCGACGACGGGUGUGAUGAUCUUGCUCAGAUCUCGGAAUGCCUUUUCAUAAUUUCAAUAAAAGAUAAUUGCGUGCGACAAUAAGCUACAACCGGGAUAGAGAUACCCACUAAUAAAUAACUGCUGCCAAAAGACAAAUACUUUCACUUCGGCUGAACCCUACUUCCUCGGAUGUUAUGGAGGCACUUUCUUGCCCACCCCUCAGCGCUAAAUAGCCUGAGCGACCCCUUGUGCAUAUGCUACCCUACAUCACCAAGCAAAGCUAGCUGCGGCCACUUCAAAAUUUCUUCAAAACAUUAUAAAAUUUUCAUUACACGCUAAAAGGAAAUAAAUAACUAAGACUAAACAAUAAACACAUAAUGUAAAUGUAGAUAUAAAUGGUAUACGAUAUAAUGAGUAAUUAUAAUAGAGUAUAAGAAGUUA